This is a long non-coding RNA of Triticum aestivum (bread wheat), 424 nucleotides long. RefSeq lists it as uncharacterized. The record is from RefSeq and is a predicted model, not a curated record. The transcript is spliced from 3 exons. Lineage: Eukaryota; Viridiplantae; Streptophyta; Magnoliopsida; Poales; Poaceae.
AUAAUCCCAGAAGAAGUUGUGCGGCGUUUGAAAGGUCUUCUAAAAAGAUGGAUGUGCCUUGGGAAAGAUGCAAAGUCGGACUGAAUAUCACUACACAAACUUGGAUGAUGAGAAGAAAUAUUUCUUGGUGCAUAUGAUAGGCGUUUUUCAACAUGAGAUGAUCAUGCCAGAAGAAUUUCUUCAGCAUUUCAAGGGCGAAUUUCCAAGAGAGAUGAUACUUGAAACACAAAACUGCCGCAGUUACGUAAUUGCAGUUGCCAAGAACAAUGGAAAUCUUGUCCUUACAGUGGGAUGGAGGAAAUUUGUUGGGACGUUUAGUCUACAGAUGGGUGACACCAUAGUAUUCAGAUUCAUUGGGAAUUCUCGGUUUAAUGUCAUAAUCUUUGAUGAACUUGGCUGUGAGAAGGUAUCAUCAGUUUUUGUG